AGAGUUUGAUCCUGGCUCAGAACGAACGCUGGCGGCGUGCCUAACACAUGCAAGUCGAACGGGAUUAAGGGGCUUGCUCCUUAAUCUAGUGGCGCACGGGCGAGUAACGCGUAGAUAAUCUGCCUGAUGAUCUGGAAUAACAUCCCGAAAGGGGUGCUAAUACCUGAUAAGCCCACGAUGGCCUUGGUCGUUGCGGGAAAAGGGGGGGACCUUUUGGCCUUCCGUCAUCAGAUGAGUCUGCGUACCAUUAGCUAGUUGGUAGGGUAAAGGCCUACCAAGGCUACGAUGGUUAGCUGGUCUGAGAGGAUGAUCAGCC
This 316-nucleotide ribosomal RNA is filed under the name uncultured bacterium. RNAcentral describes it as "bacterial SSU rRNA". It matches the Rfam family "Bacterial small subunit ribosomal RNA", at positions 8 to 309 of the family's 1533-position model. The record is from RNAcentral.